CCUACGGGUGGCAGCAGUGAGGAAUAUUGGUCAAUGGACGAGAGUCUGAACCAGCCAAGCAGCGUGAAGGAUGACGGCCCUAGGGGUUGUAAACUUCUUUUAUAUGGGAAUAAAAUGUUCCACGUGUGGGAUUUUGUACGUACCAUAUGAAUAAGGAUCGGCUAACUCCGUGCCAGCAGCCGCGGUAAUACGGAGGAUCCGAGCGUUAUCCGGAUUUAUUGGGGUUAAAGGGGGCGUAGGUGGAUUGUUAAGUCAGUUGUGAAAGUUUGCGGCUCAACCGUAAAAUUGCAGUUGAAACUGGCAGUCGUGAGUACAGGAGAGGUAGGUGGAAUUCGUGGUGUAGCGGUGAAAUGCUUAGAUAUCACGAAGAACUCCGAUUGCGAAGGCAGUUCACUGGACUGCAACUGACGCUGAGGCUCGAAAGUGUGGGUAUCAAACAGGAUUAGAUACCCCGGUAGUC
RNAcentral lists this ribosomal RNA (460 nucleotides) under uncultured bacterium. RNAcentral's name for it is "partial 16S ribosomal RNA". It matches the Rfam family "Bacterial small subunit ribosomal RNA", at positions 338 to 795 of the family's 1533-position model. The record is from RNAcentral.